GCUGGUUUAAAACUUAGUUAGUUUUAGGUUUCGAAAAAUAGCAACAUUUUAAUUUGGUUUUGCAAAUCCUGUCCCAUCCCUCUCCGGCACUUUACCUACGGACGCGUGCGAGCGAGAUCGUGUGGUGACAUCGAGACGAAAAAAUAUGGCUGAACAACCGCGCGCGCGCUUCGUGUCUUUGUUAUGUUAAAUACGUAAAUAAGUGAAAUCGUUGGUGUUUCUCAUCGCGAAGUGGUACGAGUCUGCAGUAAGGACUACAUAAAGGAUCAUUAACAUGACCUAUCGAUCGAUGACUUAUCAAUCUGCAUUUGCAAGAAGAUUUGCAACUUCAAGAUUAUUGAAAUUUGCACAAGUAUCAAGGACCGAUGACUUGACCGAUAACUAGUUUCUACUUGGGCAUCUUUUUACCGUGACCAGGAGGUUCAGCAACAUAGUCUCGCUUAGAAGCAGCCGAGUCCUCUCUUCGAGUACAUUUAUUAACAUUACCAUGACCACGUUUCCCUCGUUACACUCCGAGGUACCAGCACAACGAGCUAAAGAAACUCAUCAAAACUUUUUUUUUUUUUACUCCUGGCAACGAGUACACCGCACUGAGUUCGUGACAUCUUCGCAACGCAAAUUACGCGUGGUAGUGCGAUCUCCACUCCAGAAGGGAGUCGCAUCCCGGCGCGGGGGAAAUUCGAGCGCGGAAGCUUCAAUCUCGGCGUGGCGUGAUCUAGGCAUGGUCUCGCCGCCUGACGCCGAUAUUCGGAUUCUGCGAUUCCAUCAUUUCGCAAAUGGAGGCGGCGGAGCGGGAGAAGGAGUGCUCUUCUUAACUCUCGGCGCCGUGCCAUCAACGCCGAGCCGUUGGUUGGGAAAGAGUGUUCGUCCAGCUUCGGCCCCUAUGAGGAAGCCGUCUCCUCCCAGUGAUAGUCACGGGGAGACCUGAGGGGGUCGAGGCUGCGUCGCACGCUACCGUCCACUCUAACGCGCUGGAACCAGCAGGAUGGGACGACUCAUCGGCUACUACGACCCGCGUAGCUGUUGUCGCCGAACAUACUGUGGAAAAGCAACCCGGUCGGCAGUGCAUCGCGUUCCGACCCAACAGGCUGGUUCUGACCCAGCGGAGUAUCCCGGAACACCAGCGGCAUUGCUCGAGCAGCGUGACGGGCCACUGUACCGCGGAGAUCGGCGUCGUUUCGCGUCGACAAUCGUCUCAACGACUCGUCGGUCGGGCGUCCUCACCGCCGCAAGUCUGAUUGUAGUGUUGAUAGCGGAAGCCCCCCUACUUUUACCGUAUUCUGACCCCAGGCGGAGAUCGGACAUCGGGUAUGAGAGUGCAAGGUGGAGUCGUUUGGUGGAGUAGAGCUCUAAAAAUAUCCUCGGACCCGUGAUCUGCUCCUGACAUCUGCAGACCGUCAAGUCCCACAUACCGCGUAUGCUCCCUAGGCGCCAAUACCUUAUAGGAGGUUCGGUUGCCUGUCCAAAAUAAACCUGUAUUUAUUUCAGCAUAUAAUUGGGCGCAAUUUCAGCGAAUCCUUUUACAGGGGUCGUGCAGAGAGAAUAAAAUGUAUUGUUAAAUAUGUUUGUGAUAUACCAAAAUUUUGCGGUAACAUUUUGCGCUGAAAAGUUUUAAUUUGAAUUAAAAUUUAAACUUUGUAA
Bombyx mori (domestic silkworm) is the source of this 1641-nucleotide long non-coding RNA. RefSeq lists it as uncharacterized. The record is from RefSeq and is a predicted model, not a curated record. The transcript is spliced from 4 exons. NCBI's taxonomy places the organism in Eukaryota, Metazoa, Arthropoda, Insecta, Lepidoptera, Bombycidae.